UCGAUCAGCCGCAUAUCCACCGUCCAUCCGAAUAGAUCGAGUGGCAGCUUAUUUGCCGUCGAAUCGGUUCUCAUUAUAAGGAGUUCCGUUUCCUGGCUUUGGGAUAUCAGAAGCAGUCAGAAGGAGAUGAUGUUCGGCAGGAGAGGGUUUCUUUCUUUGCCCAUGGUGGUGGGGGCCGUCGUGAUAGGAGUGGUUUCUGGGAAGUUUAUUUUUGGACCUCCUCUUGAGGAGUACUGGACAAAGAAGCUGCAGGAAGAGGCAGCAAAGGAGGGUAAAGCAGACACCAGAUAGCAGCAACCAGAAGGUUGCGAUACCCAUUUUUUUCACAGGAAGAAAGGGGAGAGACUAUACUUCUAUCUCAGAAACUACUUUUGUUUUGAUUGUGCUGUAUAGAUGCUAGAUGCACACCUAGCUUUCUUUCCUCUGCCCAUUCUUUAGGUGCUUCAAUACAUGGUUUGCAAAAGAUGGAACUCCAGUCUAAUUCUGUUGUGUCGGGAUAAUAGUUUUGAGGACUCGAUCUUUUCACUGGCCUGUUAUUUGAGCCUGCCAUGUGGCAAGCAGGGGCUGAUUAUUGUUCCGUCGACAUACCGUAUUCAGCUUUCUUUGUUUUUGCUUCCUAUCAGAGGUUGAAUAAUUUUGGCACAGUGUAUAAUAUAAUUGAUACUUUAGGACAAGAAAUCAAAUAAGAGGCUAUCUGGCCUUUCAGAUUCAGUUUGUUAUGUGUGGGUCAAGCUCUCCUGAUCUGAUGAAUGAAAAGCAAUAAUGCAGAUUCCAUGCAACUGAUCAGUGGCUAUUUUCCUAGCUAUGAGACAUCAGAAUACUGUAAAAGAUUACUUUAGUUCCAAUCUGGUGGAAUGUGAUCUAGCCUAGAUGGCGGUAUGAAUUAUGAUGUGAUCUUUAGUUUCACUUUGCUAAAAGAUUAUUGUAAUUACACCAGAUGGAAGCACUUUAACCAUUCUAAAAUGCCAUUAUCCUGUUUUAAUUUCUUGCAAGAUAGUAGCAGCAGCUCAUUAAAAGUGGCACCUAUAAUACAAAACUGGUUGACAGCCUGUACGGUAGUUUGUGAUCCAUCCUCAUGUUUUUUUUCAUGUCUAAUAUCUUACUUUGUUUAUAAUGCAGGACUGUUACAUUAGGUUAAUUCCACGUAUGUUAUUUACAUACACAGCCAGAAUUUUUCCUUUCAUUCAACUACAACAUGACAUGCACUAGAUGCUACCACAAUACUGGCAUCUGCAAGCAAUGGCAUAAUCAUAUGCAGGGUAUCAUGUCAUGAAUGCUCAUACAAGAGGGAGCCCCAGGUAGGGGUAGAUGCUGCUGGUGCUUGCUUCAAGGAAAUGAACUUGGGAGAUGACAUAUUGGUAGCUUGUAAUUAUUAACUAAAAGAUCAAGCAUCCAGAAUGAGGUUUCUCCAAAUUAGCAGCGUUCCCUAGCUGCAGAAAUGGCUUAAAAAGAACAACUGAUCAAGUGAGGUCAUGCCAAACCUGCCGAAAGCAAGAGAAGUCGUUAUCUAAUUAUUACUUCUUAACAGCACAUACUGCAACAGAACGUAACAGCUACCUUCCAGCAGAAUCAAAUAUCAGAAAUUUGAAGCUUUGCUCUGAGGGGACUGAGAACAACUCCUGGACUUAAAGAACUAUACCAAAUAUUUCCUAUGGCAUAAGAUCUUCCAGAAAAACAAUCCCAAUGGUAGUCCUUUUCAAAGAACAGCAUUUAUGAACCCGUUUGCCGUAUGAAUGGCGGGCUAUUGAUAUAGUUUGUUAAUACUCCAAAAAGAAAAGCCGCUGUCAUAUCCUGCAUGAACUUGUGCCUGCAGCAACAAUUCCCAAAUUCUCAGAUGUGACCUCCAAGCCAACCUGUUUCCAUGUAAGAUGCCUUUACCAUAUAUACAGUGAUCAGAAUAUAGUCUUUGAACAUUAAUUGAUUUCCACAACAAAACAUUUAGAUUCUAGCAAA
Long non-coding RNA from Phoenix dactylifera (date palm), 1953 nucleotides. RefSeq lists it as uncharacterized. The record is from RefSeq and is a predicted model, not a curated record. NCBI's taxonomy places the organism in Eukaryota, Viridiplantae, Streptophyta, Magnoliopsida, Arecales, Arecaceae.